UUGUAUAGGUCCAGGAGCCAGGUAAGCUGUCAUGACUUGAUACUGUACAGGUGAGCCAGGUAAGCUGUCAUGACUUGAUACUGUACAGGUGAUUGAUAGGUGAUCUGUGCACCAAAUAGUAUUGUCAUAGAUACCAUGAACUCCUACUUGAACAAUUAAAUAACUGAAGUACUCUAAUUCUUCUUAUUUCUGUUUCACAGGGGUUUCAGUGUGGCAGAUUGAAAACUUUGUACCCAUCCGAGUUGAUGAUGCUCUGUAUGGAAAAUUCUAUGAAGCUGACUGUUACAUUGUACUAAAGACUGAUUAUGAUGAGACUGACCAGCUGUACUGGCAAAUAUAUUACUGGAUUGGAAAAGAUUCUUCACUGGAUAAAAAGGCCUGCUCAGCCAUACAUGCUGUCAAUCUGAGAAAUUUCCUUGGUGCUGAAACAAGAACAAUA
Exaiptasia diaphana is the source of this 439-nucleotide long non-coding RNA. RefSeq lists it as uncharacterized. NCBI's taxonomy places the organism in Eukaryota, Metazoa, Cnidaria, Anthozoa, Actiniaria, Aiptasiidae. The record is from RefSeq and is a predicted model, not a curated record. The transcript is spliced from 4 exons.